GAUAUAGAUAUAAACGCUACCGAGAAUUUGGCGAUGAAGCCAUUUCAAAAAGGAGUGCUUACAGACACAGAAAUAUAAUAUCGCCGUCUCGCAAUCACGUAGAGAAAACACGGCAAUUUUCAUCUAUUGGAUCUGAAUCAAUAAAUGAUAUAAUCGAUCAAAAUCAAUCAAAUACAGAAGUAGAAGACUGCGAUCAGAUUACUACUUUCACUGAAUAUGAGAAUGAUUUGCAAGAAUAUCUUCAUCGGAUACUACUCGAAGAUAAGAUUACAGAUUCUUCUCCAGCACCUAAGAAUCCCAAAA
Molecule: long non-coding RNA, 303 nt
Organism: Nasonia vitripennis (jewel wasp)
Lineage: Eukaryota; Metazoa; Arthropoda; Insecta; Hymenoptera; Pteromalidae
Exons: 3
Source: RefSeq, a predicted model, not a curated record